RNAcentral lists this unclassified non-coding RNA (271 nucleotides) under Zea mays. Its description in RNAcentral is "misc RNA Zm00001eb201980". The record is from RNAcentral. Lineage: Eukaryota; Viridiplantae; Streptophyta; Magnoliopsida; Poales; Poaceae.
AAUGGAUGUUCUUUAUGGACCCGUUCAUAUUGCUACCGAUUUUAAUACUCAGCUCGUCGAUGAUAACGCUGGCAGUACAGCCCUUUGUUUACACGGUACUAGCACAGUACUUGGCUAGCUGGUACCAAAAACGUUGGACGGAACCGAGUCACAUGAAGGAGCAGGGCAAGGGCAGGGGCACGCGUGCAUCCCACAGUCAGCAGUCACCGCCAUGCCAUGCAUGUCUGUUAUGUGUAGCGCCCGAUGACAUCAGAAGCGGAACGAACCAUGU